GAAACUAUUAUGAAAUAUUAGCUAUGUAUUAAAGAGAUAUAUAUUUAACUCAAAAGUGUAGAUAAUAAACUCUAAGAUAAAUCAGAUAAUAAACGAAGUGAAUUGAAUUAUCUUAUUAACUUCAGGAAAAGAAAUCAAAAGAGAUUCUAUGAUUAGCGUGAGCAAAAAUAGAAAAGUCUAAAUAAUAAGUAAAAUGGAAUAAAACUGUUUGAAAAUUUUUAUGGGGAACCUUCCUCAAAGACUAAAUAUAAUACAUAAGCAAUAGUAAACUAGUACCGUGAGGGAAAAUAAAGUUGAAAUAGUAGUUUUAUAAGCAGCUCAAGUGAAAAUAAGAGCGUACCUUUUGCAUAAUGGGUCACCAAGUUAAUUUUAGAUGUGAGCUAAUUAAAAUGCGUAGUUAAACCGAUCAUCUAAAAAAUGAAAAAUAUCUAAAAUUAGACCCGAAUUACAGUGAUCUUACCAUGAUCAGGAUUUUAGGUCCGAACGGGUUAUCGUUGCAAAGAUAUCCGAUGAAUUAUGGUAAGUAUAGUGAAAGACAAUUCUGACUGUAUUAGCUGGUUUUCUGCGAAACCUAUAAUAGUAGGCAAUUUAAUUAACAUCUUAGCAGGUACAGAACUUAAUCUCAGACAAAAUGAAAAAAAAAUUAAUUUUUUUUUCAUUAUAUUUUGUAUACAUCGGGGGAUCAUAUAGAUUUUACCGGUGAGUUUGUGAACUCGGAAUGGUAAAGAUGAAUAUUAAAUUAUCAGACAUAGAAUGAUAAGGUUGUAUGUCAAAAGGGAAACAGCCCAGAACAAGAGUUAAGGUUCCAAAAUUAUUAUUAAGUGAAAUUAAGAAGGUUAAGGUAGAAAUCGACAAGGAGAUUGGCUUAGAAGCAGCCAUAAUUUAAAGAUCUCGUACCAGAGCACUUGUUAAUAUUAAAGCAUCGAAAAUAUAACGGAUCUAAAUAAUAUACCGAAACCUUGUCAAUUAAUAAAAAUAAUUAUUUUUAUUAAUUGGGUAGCAGAACAUUGAGUGAAUAUUAGUAUAAAAAAAAAUGAUAUUAUAACUCAAGUGAGAAUGGUGACAUGAGUAACGAUAAAGAAAGUUAAUGUAAAUGAAAAUUUUAUUAACAUUCUCGCCUAAAGCUUAUGGUGAUGAUAAGUAACGGCCUCUAAGUUUUUUACCUUAAGGUUAAAAUGAUGAGAAAAACUUUUUACUAAUAAUAAUUAUAUUUUUUUUAAGUGAAAAAUAUACAGGAAACAAUAGUAUAAAAUAACCGUUCCUAGGAACUAGAAAAAGUAAGCUAGUAGAGUAUACGAAGGCGCAUGAGAUAACAAUCUUAAAGGAACUCGGCAAAAUGACUACCGUAACUUAGGGAUAAGGAGGGCUCAUUUAAAUUGAUUAAUAUCAAGUAUAAAAGAAGAGACAUAAAAUAGUGUUGUACGACUGUUUAAUUAAAACAAAGCACUUUGCAAAAGAUGAUAAAUCAAUGUAUUAAGUGUGAUAUCUGCCCAAUGCCGUCAGCUUAAUUAUAGAUAUUAAUAAUAGAAAUUUGGUAUCCAUAAAAAUCCCCGGUGAAUGGCGGUCUUAUUUUGAGGAUCCUAAGGUAGCGAAAUGCCUUGGCCGUUAAAUGCGGUCUUGCAUGAAUGAUAUAACGAUACAACAGCUGUCUCUAAGAUUGACUCAGUGAAAUUG
Molecule: non-coding RNA, 1674 nt
Filed under: Ophiostoma piceae UAMH 11346
Lineage: Eukaryota; Fungi; Ascomycota; Sordariomycetes; Ophiostomatales; Ophiostomataceae
Description: Bacterial large subunit ribosomal RNA
Rfam family: Bacterial large subunit ribosomal RNA
Source: Rfam by way of RNAcentral